This 460-nucleotide ribosomal RNA is filed under the name uncultured bacterium. RNAcentral's name for it is "partial 16S ribosomal RNA". It matches the Rfam family "Bacterial small subunit ribosomal RNA", at positions 338 to 795 of the family's 1533-position model. The record is from RNAcentral.
CCUACGGGAGGCAGCAGUGAGGAAUAUUGGUCAAUGGACGCAAGUCUGAACCAGCCAUGCCGCGUGCAGGAAGACGGCUCUGUGAGUUGUAAACCUCUUUUGUAAGAGGGCAAAGGCAGAGACUAGUAUCUGUAUGAGAGUAUCUGAAGAAUAAGGAUCGGCUAACUCCGUGCCAGCAGCCGCGGUAAUACGGAGGAUGCGAGCGUUAUCCGGAUUUAUUGGGUUUAAAGGGUGCGUAGGCGGUCCGAUAAGUUAGAGGUGAAAUCCCGAGGCUCAACUUCGGCCUUGCCUCUGAUACUGUCCGGCUAGAGAGUAGUUGCGGUAGGCGGAAUGUAUGGUGUAGCGGUGAAAUGCUUAGAGAUCAUACAGAACCCCGAUUGCGAAGGCAGCUUACCAAGCUAAUUCUGACGUUGAGGCACGAAAGCGUGGGUAGCAAACAGGAUUAGAUACCCCUGUAGUC